RNAcentral lists this long non-coding RNA (687 nucleotides) under Gossypium raimondii (Peruvian cotton). RNAcentral describes it as "long non-coding RNA (GRAI_LNC002113)". The record is from RNAcentral. Lineage: Eukaryota; Viridiplantae; Streptophyta; Magnoliopsida; Malvales; Malvaceae.
AACCAUCAGGUAUGUUUUUCAAACCUUUUUCUUUUUAUUUUAUAUUCUUUUAUAAAAAAACAGAUUUAAAAAAAGAAAAAAAGUGAGGAUCACCUUUUGAAAUUUUGUAUUGUCUAUUUUUCGAUUUCUUUUUUUUUGUCCCUCAAGAUUACAUUUUAAUCCGGCCUUCAUAGCUGAUUUUUACAUAUUAUUUUUAUUUAUUUCUCUGAUGUUUUCUAUUGCGUGUUUGUUCUUCUUUGGAAGUGACGGUGGCAGAGAGCGAAGUCAACGGUGGUGGUGGCAGAGGGGUGUCAAACGGCACGUCUGUCGACGUGGAGAAGCGGCGCAAGGGAGGCUAGGAUUUCUUUUGUUUUAUUGAAAAUGUUUGCGCUUUUGGGCCAUUUGGACAAUUAGGGUUUUAAUUUUUUUGGGCUUUGUAAUUUAGGUAAUAGGUUUUGCUUAUUUUUAUUUUCAUCUGUUUUUUUUUUGGAUGAUUGGUUUGGUUUCUUUGGGCUGAUUGGUUUGGUUUCUUUGGGCCCAGAUAGAAUUGAGCCCUUGCAUUGACUAAUUUAUUAUUUUUCGAAAGUUUAGUGACAGAGUUAAAAGUUGAAUGAUUGUUUUAUCAUUAAAAUCAAUGUUACAUAAUUGUUGGUUUAUUUUACUCAAAACUUUAUUUACUAUAUAUUUCUUCUAUACUUUUUAUGCAAU